CGUUUCUCCAAUUGUCCUCCCUUUUCUACACAAGCAGACACACUCUACCCCACCAACACACAUGACAUGUAAAUUUGUUUUGGGCAGAACCGCAAUUUGACUGAGUUAGGGUGAUUGGCCCAAAUUCCUGUUUAUGAGUACAUGCCAAAAUUUCAAGGAAACAAGCCUGAACAUCCUCCUUUUGCCUUGUCAUUUGGAGUGAAAAGGGGAAUGGAAAAGUCUGUUAAUUUUUUCCUUUUUAUUUUUGGGUGGGGACAGAUAAGCUGCUUAGUUUGCCAUGAUGGAGAAGAAGUUUGCCCAAUCAUGUGGACUAUAUCUUAUUUUGUCCAAUCAAGAAGAAAAGUAUGAUUGAUGGUUAAACAGCCACUAAAUGUUUAUUUAAUUCACAGAUCAAGGGACAACUAACCAACAGAGGGUGGGAAGCUGAGGAAGAGCAGUAAAAUCAUCUAUACUUCCAAGCAGGAUUCAUCCAGACACUGACUGCAAGUACUGAAGGAGACAGACGAGCAGUGUUGGUGUCAGGGUUCUUUACUAAAGUGGGAAUUUAAAGUGAAUUUAACAUUUCAGGCCAAAAUAGCCAAAAUGCAAUUUUAGUAGCGCACUCUUGUAAGCAAGACUCAUCAUAUGGGAAUAUUCCCAGACAAGUCUCUUGAGAGAAGUUAAAUUAUUGAUUAAUAAUAACAAUACUAAUAAAUAUCUGUGAUUAGCAUUAGUCCCGUCUAACUCAAAUUCAGCCUAAAUCUGAGUUUUACGAUCACUUCUCCGUUCUGAGUCCAGGAGAAUGGCACUUUUCCAGUUUGUCCUGUUUCUGUCUGCAGCGGAUAAUCUGUCAAUAACUGUUUCUGCGGCGUUGCUUGCCGCAUGGCACUUAAUCUUAACCUGCCAAAGAGUAAGUGACAUGUGGCACGAAACACGUUGGGUGAUUAUACUGUGAAAAACUUUUUGGAUUUAUGCUGCUAUG
Non-coding RNA from Pelobates cultripes (western spadefoot toad), 961 nucleotides. NCBI's taxonomy places the organism in Eukaryota, Metazoa, Chordata, Amphibia, Anura, Pelobatidae. The record is from the annotation of a GenBank genome assembly.